RNAcentral lists this ribosomal RNA (301 nucleotides) under uncultured bacterium. Its description in RNAcentral is "partial 16S ribosomal RNA". It matches the Rfam family "Bacterial small subunit ribosomal RNA", at positions 509 to 807 of the family's 1533-position model. The record is from RNAcentral.
CAGUAGCCGCGGUAAUACAUAGGGUGCAAGCGUUAAUCGGAAUUACUGGGCGUAAAGCGUGCGCAGGCGGUUCGCUAAGACAGAUGUGGAAUCCCCGGGCUUAACCUGGGAACUGCAUUUGUGACUGGCGGGCUAGAGUAUGGCAGAGGGGGGUAGAAUUCCACGUGUAGCAGUGAAAUGCGUAGAGAUGUGGAGGAAUACCGAUGGCGUAGGCAGCCCCCUGGGCCAAUACUGACGCUCAUGCACGAAAGUGUGGGGAGCAAACAGGAUUAGAUACCCGUGUAGUCCCUGUCUCUUAUAC